Molecule: ribosomal RNA, 432 nt
Filed under: uncultured bacterium
Lineage: Bacteria
Description: bacterial SSU rRNA
Rfam family: Bacterial small subunit ribosomal RNA
Source: RNAcentral
UGGCGGACGGGUGAGUAAUGCCUAGGAAUCUGCCUGGUAGUGGGGGAUAACGUUCGGAAACGAACGCUAAUACCGCAUACGUCCUACGGGAGAAAGCAGGGGACCUUCGGGCCUUGCGCUAUCAGAUGAGCCUAGGUCGGAUUAGCUAGUUGGUGAGGUAAUGGCUCACCAAGGCGACGAUCCGUAACUGGUCUGAGAGGAUGAUCAGUCACACUGGAACUGAGACACGGACCAGACUCCUACGGGAGGCAGCAGUGGGGAAUAUUGGACAAUGGGCGAAAGCCUGAUCCAGCCAUGCCGCGUGUGUGAAGAAGGUCUUCGGAUUGUAAAGCACUUUAAGUUGGGAGGAAGGGCAUUAACCUAAUACGUUAGUGUUUUGACGUUACCGACAGAAUAAGCACCGGCUAACUCUGUGCCAGCAGCCGCGGUAAU